UGAAAUGAUAUUUUUUUUCUCUUUGUUUCUGACAUAGUAGAUUUCCUUUGACCUUUGGACAGAUUUUAAACAGUGUUUAGCACACAAUGUCAAUUUUUGUCGGACAGACAUUUGGUGAACCAAAAUCUAUCCAAAUUUGCCUAUUUAAGGGCUGCCCUUUCCUCACUUUGGGGGGACUCCAUCACACUUCCAGGGGGCAUUUUUUAUAAUUACUUUGUCACACAAAAAAAAAAAUUCAGCAGUUGAACACAUGAAAAGUAAGCUGAAAUGGUGAGCUUUGGGAGUGAAUCUUAGAGUGCAAACUUUUAGAAAGGUAUAAGUCCUCUUUAGAGUUCGUUUUUGGGUUCCCUUUCUAAGUUUUCGGGUUGUUUUAACACGAAUUUGCUGCUGGUUUUGCUGCUGUUUUUAUACUGCUUUAGUUGCUGAACUACUGUUUAUUCUUUUGCUACCAGGUAAUCCUUUAAGACUCGUAAUGUACGUAUUUUCAGUAAUGGGAACAACUUGAACAUGCUGCACCAUUUAAAUGUGUUUGAAAUGAUGAAUAGUUUGACAACAAAAGAGCUUGUAUGUUAUUGUUAUGUAUCAAGCAUGUGAUAAUGUGAAUAUAGUCCUUCAUAAUACUUGAAUGUGAUAUGUAAGUCGUUUAUGGAUUUUUUAAGCAUGUUUUCAAGCUAUUAUAUCUGAGUAACAAUGCUAAGUAUGUCAUAAAUGACUUUAGGUGUAUAACACAUAGCAUGAGUUCAUUUUAGUUGCUGAAAUUUCACUGCCAACAUAUGCUUCUAGGAAUGCUGUGAUAAUAUCUUUGUGAAUCUGGC
Molecule: long non-coding RNA, 815 nt
Filed under: Nicotiana tabacum (common tobacco)
Lineage: Eukaryota; Viridiplantae; Streptophyta; Magnoliopsida; Solanales; Solanaceae
Description: long non-coding RNA (NTAB_LNC007452)
Source: RNAcentral